This 1457-nucleotide ribosomal RNA is filed under the name metagenome. Its description in RNAcentral is "bacterial SSU rRNA". It matches the Rfam family "Bacterial small subunit ribosomal RNA". The record is from RNAcentral.
AGAGUUUGAUCCUGGCUCAGGAUGAACGCUGGCGGUAUGUUUAAGGCAUGCAAGUCGAGGGAUCCAAUUAUUUACUUAGUUGGAGACCGGCAAACGGGGGAGUAACACAUUGGUAACCUACCUUUCACUUGGGGACAGCUCGCCGAAAGGCGAAUUAAUACCCAAUAGACCUGCCCACUUCGGUGUGGCGUGGUAAAGCUCAGGCGGUGAAAGAGGGGCCUAUGUCUUAUCAGCUAGUUGGUAGGGUAAUAGCCUACCAAGGCGAUGACGAGUAUCGGGUGUGAGAGCAUGACCCGACCCACUGGGACUGAGACACUGCCCAGACACCUACGGGUGGCUGCAGUCAAGAAUCUUCCACAAUGGACGCAAGUCUGAUGGAGCAAUACCGCGUGAAGGAUGAAGUCUUUCGGGAUGUAAACUUCUUUUAUUAGAGACAAACUUUGAUGGUACCUAAUGAAUAAGUGGCUGCUAACUUCGUGCCAGCAGCAGCGGUAAUACGAAGGCCACAAGCGUUAUCCGGAAUUAUUGGGCGUAAAGGGUCCGCAGGUUGUUCGGUAAGUCAGUUGUUAAAUAUAUGGGCUUAACCCAUAUGCCGCGAUUGAUACUGCCGGACUAGAGGGUGGAUGAGGUACGCGGAAUGGCUGGUGUAGUAGUAAAAUGCGUUAAUAUCAGCUAGAACACCAAAUGCGAAGGCAGCGUACUAGGACACUCCUGACACUCAGGGACGAAAGCGUGGGUAGCGAAUGGGAUUAGAUACCCCAGUAGUCCACGCCCUAAACGAUGGAUGCUAGGUAUUGGAGGAUUCGACCCCUUCAGUGCCGUUUAACGAAGUUAACACCUUAAGCAUCCCGCCUGGGAAGUACGAUCGCAAGAUUAAAACUCAAAGGAAUUGACGGGAGCCCGCACAAGCGGUGGAGCACGUGGUUUAAUUCGACGGUAAGCGAAGAACCUUUACCAGGGUUUGACAUGCUAGCUGCAAGCUUUGAGAAAUCAGAGCCGCUCUUGAAGGUGCUAGCACAGGUGCUGCAUGGUUGUCGUCAGCUCGUGUCGUGAGAUGUUGGGUUAAGUCCUCUAACGAGCGCAACCCUUAUCCUAUGUUUACAUAUCCAUGGGAGACUGCCUGGGUUUAACCAGGAGGAAGGUGGGGAUGACGUCAAAUCAGCAUGGCCCUUAUAUCCUGGGCGACACACAUGCUACAAUGGCCGGUACAAAGGGUAGCCAACCCGCGAGGGGGAGCCAAUCCUAUUAAAACCGGUCUCAGUUCGGAUUGAAGUCUGCAACUCGACUUCAUGAAGCUGGAAUCGCUAGUAAACGUGGAUCAGCCACGCCACGUUGAAUACGUUCUCGGGCUUUGUACACACCGCCCGUCAAGCCAAGGGAGUCGGUAAUACCCGAAGUCUCCGUUUAUACGGGGCCGAAGGUAGGAUCGGUGACAGGGGCUAAGUCGUAACAAGGCA